Molecule: long non-coding RNA, 311 nt
Organism: Mauremys mutica (yellowpond turtle)
Lineage: Eukaryota; Metazoa; Chordata; Testudines; Geoemydidae
Exons: 3
Source: RefSeq, a predicted model, not a curated record
CAGACUGUGACUUCUCUGCAGGAGUAAGCACAGAUAUAACCUGGGCUGUGUCAAAGAGAAACUACUAUCCGAUUAUAUAUAUUUUCAAUGAUAUGGAGAACAUAGGAAAAUUAAAUCCAAAGCGGCACAGCAGGAGCACAGAAGUCCCUGCACUCUUCAGGGAACAGGGAACCCAAGGACUGCUAUCGCAGGAGGCCCUUUUACAGCCACGUAAAGGGGCCCGAACCCGCUCUCGGCAGCCCUGGUUCCCAGCUAUGACUGCCAACUGUAUCCAACUGCUGACUGCUGCCAAAGCCCUUCACCCCUCAUGG